This 439-nucleotide ribosomal RNA is filed under the name uncultured bacterium. RNAcentral describes it as "bacterial SSU rRNA". It matches the Rfam family "Bacterial small subunit ribosomal RNA", at positions 949 to 1388 of the family's 1533-position model. The record is from RNAcentral.
AUUCGAUGCAACGCGAAGAACCUUACCAGAUCUUGACAUCCUCAGAAUCGAUUAGAAGUAAUUGAGUGCCUUCGGGAACUGAGAGACAGGUGGUGCAUGGCUGUCGACAGCUCGUGUCGUGAGAUGUUGGGUUAAGUCCCGCAACGAGCGCAACCCUUAUCGUUAGUUACCAUCAUUAAGUUGGGGACUCUAGCGAGACUGCCUGCGAAGAGCAGGAGGAAGGUGGGGAUGACGUCAAGUCAUCAUGCCCCUUAUGAUCUGGGCUACACACGUGCUACAAUGGUUGGUACAAUGAGGAGCGAGACGGAGACGUGGAGCAAAUCUGUGAAAGCCAAUCUUAGUUCGGAUUGAAGUCUGCAACUCGACUUCAUGAAGUUGGAAUCGCUAGUAAUCGCAAAUCAGCAAUGUUGCGGUGAAUACGUUCCCGGGCCUAGUACAC